RNAcentral lists this non-coding RNA (147 nucleotides) under Ornithinimicrobium sp. CNJ-824. RNAcentral's name for it is "Bacterial small subunit ribosomal RNA". It matches the Rfam family "Bacterial small subunit ribosomal RNA", at positions 1 to 146 of the family's 1533-position model. Lineage: Bacteria; Bacillati; Actinomycetota; Actinomycetes; Micrococcales; Ornithinimicrobiaceae. The record is from Rfam by way of RNAcentral.
UUAUCGGAGAGUUUGAUCCUGGCUCAGGACGAACGCUGGCGGCGUGCCUAACACAUGCAAGUCGAACGAUGAAGCCCAGCUUGCUGGGUGGAUUAGUGGCGAACGGGUGAGUAACACGUGAGUAACCUGCCCUUCACUCUGGGAUAA